AUUGAACGCUGGCGGCAUGCCUUACACAUGCAAGUCGAACGGCAGCGGGGGAGAAGCUUGCUUUUCCUGCCGGCGAGUGGCGAACGGGUGAGUAAUACAUCGGAACGUGCCCUGUAGGGGGGGAUAACUAGUCGAAAGAUUAGCUAAUACCGCAUACGACGUGAGGGUGAAAGCGGGGGACCGCAAGGCCUCAUGCUAUAGGAGCGGCCGAUGUCUGAUUAGCUAGUUGGUGGGGUAAAGGCCUACCAAGGCGACGAUCAGUAACUGGUCUGAGAGGACGACCAGCCACACUGGGACUGAGACACGGCCCAGACUCCUACGGGAGGCAGCAGUGGGGAAUUUUGGACAAUGGGCGCAAGCCUGAUCCAGCCAUGCCGCGUGCAGGAUGAAGGCCUUCGGGUUGUAAACUGCUUUUGUACGGAACGAAAAGCCUCUUUCGAAUAAAGAGAGGUCAUGACGGUACCGUAAGAAUAAGCACCGGCUAACUACGUGCCAGCCGCCGCCGUAA
This 508-nucleotide ribosomal RNA is filed under the name uncultured bacterium. RNAcentral's name for it is "partial 16S ribosomal RNA". It matches the Rfam family "Bacterial small subunit ribosomal RNA", at positions 30 to 523 of the family's 1533-position model. The record is from RNAcentral.